GACGAACGCUGGCGGCGUGCUUAACACAUGCAAGUCGAACGGACAGGCCCUGCUCUUGCGGGGUGCUCGAUUGGCGCACGGGUGAGUAUCACGCGUGUAUCCUGCCCCUGACUUUGGGAUAACUUCAGGAAACUGGGGCUCAUACCGGAUAGGAGCUCCUGCUGCACGGUGGGCGUUGGUAAGUUUCGGCGGUUGGGGAUGGACUCGCGGCUUAUCAGCUUGUUGGUGGGGUAGUGGCUUACCAGGGUUACGACGGGUAGCCGGCCUGAGAGGGUGGCCGGGCACAUUGGGCCUGAGAUACGGCCCAGUCUCCUACGGGAGGCAGCAGGGGGAAAUAUUGCACAAUGGGCGGAAGCCUGAUGCAGCAACGCCCCGUGCGGGAUGACGUCCUACGGGUUAUAAACCGCUGUCGCCGGAGACGAGGCGGGAGUGACGGUAAUGGGUAAAAAAGCACCGGCUAACUACGUG
RNAcentral lists this ribosomal RNA (468 nucleotides) under uncultured bacterium. RNAcentral describes it as "partial 16S ribosomal RNA". It matches the Rfam family "Bacterial small subunit ribosomal RNA", at positions 28 to 507 of the family's 1533-position model. The record is from RNAcentral.